Molecule: long non-coding RNA, 6801 nt
Filed under: Xyrichtys novacula (pearly razorfish)
Lineage: Eukaryota; Metazoa; Chordata; Actinopteri; Labriformes; Labridae
Source: RNAcentral
UUCCGGUUGAAUUUCCCUUUAGGGAUCAAUAAAGUUCUUAUCUUAAUAUUGAGUUGAUGGAUGGAGAGUUAGCUGCCUUGAAGUUGGUGAACCUGCUCCUGGUCUGUCUCUGUCUCACUGGCUGCUACUGAACUUCACUUUCUACUGUGCCUAAUUUACUUUUGAUAACAAGCUGUUAAUUUGGAUAUUGGUGAUGUGCUAACACCACAGCAAAGAUACUUUAUCUGAGGUAUAUAUACUUUAAUACAGUAUGUAUUAUGUGUGACAUUUUCAGCUGCAGCUAACAGCCAGGUGAUCUGUUGUAGCUGUUUAGUUUUCAAUUAGCCCAACUACUGUAAUAAUGUUAGUUUUCUUUAUAGGCCUAUUGUUUUUAAUGUACUAUCUGUCAGGCAACACUAAUGUAGUGUUUCUUGUCUCAAACAAACAGAAGAUACAUCCUUCCCAGUGCAUUUGUUGGUAAGUAUAAGUGUUUUGACCAGGACUGACAACAAACAAAAUAUAAAUAAUUGGAUUAAUGAUUAGCUUAAUCCUGUUAAACAACGUCAUUCAAGAUAAUGUACAACAUAUGAUGCAUUUUUCAAGUACUGAGUUUAAAUUUAUACGAAAUGUUGAUCUAUCUGUAACACUGUUGUAUAUCCUAUAUGAAAAUCAAAGAUGGGAUACAGUUUUUUCCUAGAAGACAAUAGUGUGCUAACAAUAUUACUACACUACUGAAUUAAUUUCUUAAAAAAAUGCUGGCGAAAGUCUGAAUCUUGAUUGUGACAAUAAUUAAGUGCGAAAAUCAUUCAGAUAAAUUUUGAAUGAAGUGUUUUUUUUAGUGUAUUAAAAAAUCUCUUUCCCUCCCUCUCCCCCCUCCUCCUGCCUCAACUUGUCCUCUGACCUGGGCGAAAAUCCCUACCAACUCUGAAGUGUAAGUUCACGCUUACAGUCAGGUCCAUAAAUAUUGGGACAUCAACAUAAUACUCAUCUCUUUGGCUGUAAACACCACCACAGUUGACUUUAAAUGAAAUAAACAAGAUGUGCUUUGACUGCAGACAUUCAGCUUUAAUAUAUGGUUAUUUACAUCCACAUUAGGUGAAAAGUGUAGGAAUUAAAACAGUUUCUAUAUGUGCCUCUCACUUUUUAAGGGACCAAAAGUAUUGGGACAAACCAAAAAUCAUACAUCAAACUUUCACUUUUCAAUAUAUGGUUGCAAAUCCUUUGCUGUCCAGGACGCAUAGAUACACCGGACGCAUAGAUACACCAGACGCUGGGUUUCACCCCUAGUGUUGCUCUGCCAGGCCUCGACUGCAACUGUCUUCAGUUCCUGCUUGUUCUUGGUGCAUUUUCUCUUCAGUUUUAUCUUCAGCAAGUGAAAGGCAUGCUCAAACGGAUUCAGGUCAGGUGAUUGACUUGGCCAUUUCAUAACAUUCCACUUCUUUGCCCUACACCGUGCACCUGAUUUGGAUGUAAAUACCCUUAAAUUAAAGCUGAAUGUCUGCAGUCAAAGCACACCAUGUUUGUUUCAGUUCAAAUCCAAUGUGGUGGUGUUUACAGCCAGAGAGAUGAGAAUUGUGUUGACGUCCCAAUAUUUAUGGACCUCAUGGUAUAUAUAUAUAUAUACUUACUGGGCAAUCACUUAAAUGUUACAUUUUUGCUCUGCAGUUUAUAAUUAUAUUUCACUGUUUUGUAUUUCACCUCAAUGACUUGCAUAAGAAAGUAAAAAGUGAAGAGGUCCUUCAUUGUGUUUGUGCAUUUUCUCUCCAUUGUAACAAACAUUUUUUACAGGCCAAGGGAGCUGCAGUAACAUCCUUUUACUAAUCAAAUGCCACAAAUUGUAGACUUUGAUAAGAAAUGAGAAAAGUAAUGAUACACAGUGAAAAGUUGUGAUUGCAGUAAACUAUAAGAUGCUGAUUUUUUUUGCAACUAAAUUUAUUUAUUUUUUGUCCCUGUCUUUUCUCUCCUGAACUCGAUGCUAUCUCUACUGCUGGCCCUAUUUACUGUUGGCGACUCAGCUGUAAGUUCACAAAUAAAGUAACUUAAAAAUGUUUACACUGUUACUUUUUUAAACAUAUCAUGUAAAAACCUGACAUUAUGUUCUUAUUUGACAAACUGCAACACAUUUUCAUUGUAACACAAACAAUUUUAAAUAACAAUUAAUUUUGCCGGCUGAUUACGGUUGAAACUGCAAUGCAGUGAGAUGUGCUGGUUUUCUACAAUUAAACUAAAACUCUCUUAUCUCAAUUUUUCCAUUUUCCUUUUUGCCAACUCUGUCCUGUCCAAGUGCAGACCGCUCUGUGGCGACUCGACGUAAGUUCACACAGGAAUGACACUUUCAGGAAUAAGACAGUGUGCUAUGAUUCACAUAUGAAGUUCUUCGUAUUCUAAAGUUUUAAUUAACUCUUAUGAACACUUUGGAUUUUUAGUCCUUAUGAACUUGAUUGAGGGGUUAUCGAACAAGACAAUGGUCACUUCCAGCUUUUGACUCAACUUGACUUUUGAUAGAUGCAUAGUUGAGGGCAGCCACUUGGUGGGUUGAGUAAAAGCACAUUAUAAUGUGAUAAGCUUUGGGUGGAUGUUGGUUCAUUUAAUUUUAUUUCUUUAAUAAAAGAUUAAUGUUUUUUUCCAUUGUGUCUUACAGGUAUCCUGUCCAGUCUCCCCAGUCUCCCCACUCUCCCCUAUCAUUUUGGUCGCUCUGUCUUUCCUGUCUCCUCUACCGCUCUGUCUGAUUGAAAAGCCACUCUGUCUUUCUAUCCCCCUUCUAUCCCACUCUGGCUACUGAUACAAUCCUUGAAUAAAUCUUUGAUACCAUUGAAACAAAUCUUUGAUACCAUUGAAACAAAUCUUUGAUGCCAUUGAAACAAAUCUUUGAUACCAUUGAAACAAAUCAUUGAGGCCUAUUGUAACAAAUCAUUGAGACCUAUUGUAACAAAUCAUUGAGGCCUAUUGUAACAAAUCAUUGAGACCUAUUUUAACAAAUCAUUGAGGCCUAUUGUAACAAAUCAUUGAGACCUAUUGUAGCAAAUCAAAAUUUUUUGAGAAACCUUUUUAUAAAAUCUACCUUUUUUUGAGAAACCAAACUUUUGAAAAGCUGUACAUUUAAUACAACCACUGUUUUGAAAAAAAAUCCCUAAUUUUGCACAAGUCUGAUUGUUGUUCUAGGUUUUCCUUUCCUGUCUGUGGAUCCAGAGUUUCACCAGAAGUGUCAUCAGCACCACCACAUCUGCGUCCCUGAUUUUGAAAGAAAAAAAUAAACACUUUUCAUAUAGAAUAUUUGAGUUACAUAUUAUUUCAAGUACAAAGUUCUAAGAUUUACAAAAUUGUUGAUUUGUGUUUUUUCUGAAAACAUUUAUAUAGUCUUGUCAAGGAUUUUCUUUUAAAACAUUUGAUAAACUAUUGUGGUAUACACACAGUUUUAUAUUAGAUAUUUUGGAGACUAUAAGAGCUGUUAAAUAACGUCCUCUCUUUAAGAAAUAAAGCGUUUUGUCUAUACUGGUGCUUAUCAUUAACUUUAAAUUAUUGAAUAAACACAUUGUUGUGAAAGGACAGCUACAAUGCCGAGGAAGAGUAAGAGGUCACAGGUUGCAAGUCAGCGCUGGCAGAGGUUUCAUGACAUUGACCAUGUGAGUACUGGACAAGCAGAUGGUAUUCCUCAGAGCAGUGGAGAGGUAAAGGGGUCUGAAGUAUCUGAUGCUGUGAAACAGGGAGGUCAAAGUGCGUCAUGUCAACCACAGGUAUCUCAUGCAGACAAGCUUAAGAGGAGACGUUUAAGUGAGUCACCUGCAGCAGGUCCGUCUAACUCUGAACAGGUAAACCACAGAGGUGAAACUAAUGAUCCAGGUGUACAACAGGUAACAUAUGCAGACAUGUUGAAGAGAAAACUUCCUAGUGUAUCAUGCACUCCCAGUCCAUCCAACUCUGUUCAUAUAAACCGCAUAACCCAAACUGACAAGCCAUUUUCAACCCAGGUACCAUAUACAGACACUGUUAAAAAGGGAAACCACAGUAAUUAUAAGUCUGUAUCAGGCUCUUCUCAGGUAAGAAAUGUGAACGCUGUUAGUCAGUCAGGUGAACUAAGUGUCUGUGCGUCACGCAGCCAAGCGUCUCUGAAAUAUGGCCAAUCCAGAAACCAGCAGUGCACCUGUAACUCACUGACAUUUCUAGCAUUCCUGUAUGAGAGCGAACACAUCACCAGAGCAGACCUGGACCGUGUUUUGGAUAAAGGUGAUGUGAUGUACAGAGAAGUCAGAAAAACUGUUGAUCACGCCCAUCUGACAACCGAUGAGCUCCCUAACCAGGUUCCUGCACGCAGACACAUGCAGACUGUUGACAUGUUACAGCUGUCUAGAUACGGUACGUUUGGAGAUCCGGAUCCCGGAGCUGUUGAUACCUUUCUGGACCUCGUUUCAGGACUGAGCUGCUUAUUAACAGAUGUGCAGUACGCUUUGCUGCUAAUGACUUCGUUGUGCAUUGCAGUUUUCAGAACCAGAGAUGGCAGGUACGGUUUCUUUGACCCACAUGCUAGGACAGCUAACGGUUUGCCUCUGCUUAAGGCCACACCUUAUCCUGGUACUGCUGUCAUGGUAACAUUCACACGCCUCAGUGACAUGAUUGCCAGGCUCAUCAGGUAUCACCACAUAUUGGGCACAGCAGCGUCCUGUCGCUAUGAGCUUAAGCCAGUUGUGUUUCAUGAUGUGAACCCAAAUGAUGCUUUCCCUGCCACAGAAAGUCCGUCUGCUCUACAGAUGAACACCGAUGUCCAUGGAAACACUGAAUGUGACAUGGAAACUGAACCAGAGCCACUGAUCGACUUCAGCCAGUGUUCUGUCACAUCAGCUGGACCUGACUCUCUUGCUCCAGAGAUGAACACUACUGUAAGUGAUGACUCUCAUGACACAUCACAGAAUGUCUCAACCCUGACGGAAAAACAAGCUCAUCAACAAGGUCAGAUCAGCAAUAAUUCUGUCACAUUAAAAGAAACUCAGGAGAUUCAAUCAAAUUUGACUCAGCCAUUAAUAAAUAUCCCUGUUGCCAGUGACAAUGUCCUUCAUGACAUCUCCAUUAAGCUGUCAAAAGUGAACAAAGCACAAAGGAAAAAAUAUAAGAGGAGACUAAUGGCCUCUGAAAAGACAUCACAAGGGAAAGAGGAUAAAAAAAUGAAAGAGAGAAAAAAGUAUGCUAAGGAUGAAACAUACAAAGCAAAGAAAAAGUCUUAUUCAAGUGAGAAAUAUUCUGUCAAUCCUGAAAUACAGACGAAGAAAAGACAAAAAAUCACAACUAAAUACAGGGAAAGCACAGACUUCAGACUGAAGCAAAAAUUAUAUAUAACAAGAAAAUACAGAGAAAAUGUUGAUUUUAAAGGCAGACAAAAAGAAUAUAUCAGGAGAAAAUACUCAGAGGACGUUAAUUUCAGGCAAAGACAGCGAUUAUGUGUCAAUUAUCGAUAUGCAAACGAUGAAAUAUUCCAUCACCGACACAGACAACUGAUGAGACAAAUUAUGCGAGACAGGUAUAAGACAAAUCUUGCAUACAGGACUAUCCAUAAAAUGAGGUGUGCAUUGAAAAUAUCAAAGAAAUACAAACAGAUAAGUAGACAAACAUGUGAGACUGACAGAGAGAGUGAAAACCCACUUAUUGAAAGUGCCAUAAAUGAUUUCCGAUCACACAUUAAAGCGGGUCCCACCCAUGUUUGCACAGUUUGCCACAAAGCCUCAUUUCCAAACCAGGUGCAAAAGUGCAAGAGGUCCAACUAUGUGAAAAAUCCAAUCAUGGUUUCAGCUUGUCUCAAAGGUCAGUACGUCCAUGAUUGUAACGAUGACUGCAGAAAUCACUGCACUGUCCCUGAUGAGAGAAAGACUGAGUGGAUUUGUCACACCUGCCAUGACCAUCUGAAAAAUGGAUCCAUGCCCAAACUUGCCAUAGCAAACAACUUGGAGCUUGCUGACAUACCACCUGAGCUGUGUGACCUCAACAUACUGGAGAGACAUCUGAUAGCAAAGUGCAUAACAUUUGCCAAAAUCAUUCCUCUUCCCAAAGGCAGACAGCGAGCUAUACAUGGUAAUGUUGUAUGUGUUCCCUCUGAAGUCCAGGAAACAAUUCAGGCUCUACCCAGAUUGAGAAAUGAAUCUCAGGUGAUGAGAGUAAAACUGAAGAGACGUUUGAGUUACAGAGGUCACCAUCUGUUUCAGACUGUUACCUGGUCCAAGCUAGUGCAGGCUCUGCAUAAACUGAAAGAGACACACCCCCAGUAUGAAGACAUCACUAUUAGAGAUGAGGAGGAGUUAUGUGACCCCACACUUCCUGAUGAUGGUGAUGAGGAUGAGGAUGAUGAUGAUAACACAAUGAAUGAUGACGACUAUGAUGAUGAGGAUUUGAUGGAAAUUGAUAGAAUUGAGGCUGCUGCCAUGCAUGACGCUGAAACUAAUGUUGAAAAUGAGGAUGAAAACACAGAGCUGUGUGAUAAAAGUCAGACCCAGGACAAUGAUGAUCAGACACAACAACGGGAUGCAGACAAAUCUAAUGGUGGUGUUGUUUUGGAGUCGUGCCUUCAGCCACGGGAUGUUUCUGAGGAGAUAUUGUGUUUCAGUGACUCUACAUACUCAGUAGCUCCAGCAGAGAGAAACAAUCCAGUCAGUUUUUUCAAAACACCCAAACUAGAGGCCAUGGCGUUUCCUGUUCAGUUUCCCACUGGUGAGAAUACACUGGAUGAAAACAGACCAAUGAAACUAUCACCCAGUAGUUAUUUUAAAGCAAGGCUCUUUGGUGUUGAUGAUCGCUUUGCCAAAGAUACCAACUACCUGUUCUUUGCACAGUUUGUGACUG